Long non-coding RNA from Suricata suricatta (meerkat), 798 nucleotides. RefSeq lists it as uncharacterized. Lineage: Eukaryota; Metazoa; Chordata; Mammalia; Carnivora; Herpestidae. The record is from RefSeq and is a predicted model, not a curated record. The transcript has 4 exons.
AUAAGGAAGUAAUUGUCAGACUUCCACAGGGCGCUAAGUCUACUGAACGUUGCCAAUGUCAUUUAAACAAGAGGAAGGGUAUUUCAGCACCGAGGACGAAAAUGCUGAAAGGACAUAAAUGAAAGAGUUAUGGGAAAGAGUCCUCUCACAAAUAGGGAAAUGUGAAUUGGAUGUGCGUGGAAAGGGGGAAAGUUCUUAAGACUUCAGAGGAGUCUUUGGUGCUUUUGUUUUUAUUGUGCCCUAGGAGUUCCUGGAUUCUAAACCCCGGAUCUCCUGCCAUCAGUGUCUAAGGCCCAGCUGAAGAGUCUGUGCGUGUGCUUCCGGGAUGUGCUACAACUGCUCAGAGCCAUGGAGAGCUGGCUGGCUGAACAGCCAUUCGGCACACUGUCAUCUCGGCCCUGAAAGAAGGGGACCACAAGCCAACAAGCUUUCCAGGCACCACCUUCAACCGAUGCACUUAGGAAGUUCAAGGGCAGUUGGUCCAAUACAACUGGAGAGAGACCAAUGGCUUGUGGAUGAGCUUCAGAAGUGGCAGUAAAUCAUUUGAUGUGGACUGAACCAUUGUGAAAAUAACAGCCUUCACAAAAGAUGAGUGCAUCACACACUCUGCUGAAAAAGAAGAACAUGAUUAUGAUGGACCUAGGAGCUAUAAUAAUAAUGAAAUGAAAUCAAUGUUAGUGUGGCUUGUUGCUUUCUGUUUCAUAGCUUCACGGUGCUUGGCACAGUACCAAAAUUCAUCUGAUAUCUUUAUUUCAGUUAAUAUGGGCCUUCUCUUGGCAUUUUUAUAAUCUGCCUUUC